ACAUAGGAAUCAUCUAUCACACUGAGCCAACUCCAUUACUAGAUCCAUCCAUUGCAUCAAUUAACUCAAGAUUACACAUAUCACCACCACAUUGUACAAGGCAUUGGGCAUGAUUGUUACAUUACUCUAAACCAACUUUAAACAACCGUAAACACAACAAAUAAAGAACAUAAAUAAAACAACUAAAUAAACAUAAGAAACUUGCACCAAACUUCCCCUCCACCCCUAAAGUAAGCAUUGUCCUUAAUGAUUAAGGUAAAGAAAUAGAAUACUCUCCUAAGGAAAUGUGAAGAGGCGUGGCCAAGAGAAGAUUGAGUGAGUAAAACACACGAUCUAGAAAACCUAAGAAAGACACAAACAAAUGAGAAAUGAAUAAGAAACACAACCAAAAAUGCCCAAAUAGAGAAAAGAAAUGAAGAGAAAAAUAAAAAAAAAAGAAGAAAGAAAGUAAAAGGGUCAUGGUUGAGGAAGAGGCUACCAUUUUCUACUCCACUCACCAAACUGAGACUCCAAACGCUGCAUCUGAGUAUCACAAGUAGUCAUGCGCCCUUCCAAACUAUGCAAAACCUGACUAUUGGCUUGAACAUUAAGGCGUGGACUCUGCAACAUACCCAUCAUGGCAUGAAUUGACGAGGAAGAAACACCAAAACUACUUGCUAGCAGGAUCAUGAAGGCGAGUAUUAAGAGCUGCUUGAUCAUCAUCAUCAAACUCAUGAAUAUCAUCGAAAUUCGUGGAGUGAACCCCUACCACUAUAGGCAAUCGACCUGGAAUGACAUCCAUCUUAUCAAUAAAAUACAUAUCACUAAAGCAAAGGGCAUGCUUGCUAAUCACCCUAGGCAGGAUACUGUGGCAAAUGAAGUAAAACAAAAGGCAUCUCUUAACAUUGAGAACCAUAGCCGUAUAGGCCUAUCUACCAAUUUGUCUAAUGUGAUAGUUUGAGCCUAUGUAUAGCUUAUAAGGCAUCCCAAUUGACAUCAUUCAAGACUUUUCAUUACAAAAUCAGGGCCAAUGUUGGACACCUGUAGCCAAUCAGCUAAACAAUCUCGAGUAACCUCUAUUCGAACACCUUUCACAUAACUCUCAAUGAAGCGAGAGUCUCAGGAUUGCUUAUCAACAACAUUAGCAUAAAAUUGUUGCACUGGCUAAGGAUAAUAGAUAAGUAGCAAAUCUAGAAUAGGUUCCCACCCUAAAGAUCGAAAAGAUCCCCUAAGAUGAAAGUUUCCUCAAUCUCAUGGCCUAGGGUCUUUCUUGCCAUCAUUUUGUUACCAAUGUGGGCAUUAUACCAUUGCUCAUAUUCCUUAUUCAAGAAUAAAAAAUUGUCAAAUUGAGGAACCCUACUACUCCUAGUACUUUUGUACGGAAUACGUGUAUAACUAGAUUUUCUACGUCAUGAGGACAUAUUUUAAGCAAAGCAUGCAACUAAUAUUACUCAAGCAGCCAAAGCACUAAAGCAGACAAGCUAGGCAGUCCACUACUCACCCAAUUGGCUCAAACAAAAAAUCAAAUUAAGUGAAAUUAAUGGAUAAAAUCAAGUUAAUAACUGAUAAUAACAUCACCAAACAUAGUGGAAUUACUUAAAAGCACAACAAAUAUACGAGAAUCGAAGAGUUAGGGCUAGCCACAUAGCUCUUGUCCAUACCUGGAGCCUUUGUCAUGUGUUAUUUCUAAAUUUGAACCCUUGGUCAGCGUGAAAGAGAAGAAACACAAAAGAGUUUUCGCUUAUUGGGGAGAAUAAAGGAGAGCUGAAAGUGGGAGAGGAUUGAGAGAGUGAGAACUAACAAAACCCAAAGGAAAGUGAAAGAAAGAAGAACUAAUAAGG
RNAcentral lists this long non-coding RNA (1820 nucleotides) under Coffea arabica (coffee). RNAcentral's name for it is "long non-coding RNA (CARA_LNC003210)". Lineage: Eukaryota; Viridiplantae; Streptophyta; Magnoliopsida; Gentianales; Rubiaceae. The record is from RNAcentral.